RNAcentral lists this ribosomal RNA (246 nucleotides) under uncultured Caldithrix sp. RNAcentral describes it as "partial 16S ribosomal RNA". It matches the Rfam family "Bacterial small subunit ribosomal RNA", at positions 1137 to 1382 of the family's 1533-position model. The record is from RNAcentral. Lineage: Bacteria; Pseudomonadati; Calditrichota; Calditrichia; Calditrichales; Calditrichaceae.
ACUCUGGAGAUACUGCCCCGGUUAACGGGGAGGAAGUGGGGAUGACGUCAAAGUCCUCAUGGCCUUUAUAUCCAGGGCUACACACGUGCUACAAUGGUCCGUACAAAGGGAAGCAAUACCGCGAGGUGGAGCAAAUACCUGAAAACCGGCCUCAGUUCAGAUUGCAGUCUGCAACUCGACUGCAUGAAGUCGGAAUCGCUAGUAAUCGCGGAUCAGCAUGCCGCGGUGAAUACGUUCCCGGGCCUU